CCUACGGGUGGCAGCAGUGGGGAAUAUUGGACAAUGGGGGGAACCCUGAUCCAGCCAUGCCGCGUGUGUGAAGAAGGCCCUCGGGUUGUAAAGCACUUUCAGUGAGGAAGAACGCCUGGUGGUGAAUACCCAUCAGGGAAGACAUCACUCACAGAAGAAGCACCGGCUAACUCCGUGCCAGCAGCCGCGGUAAUACGGAGGGUGCGAGCGUUAAUCGGAAUUACUGGGCGUAAAGCGCGCGUAGGUGGCUUGAUAAGCCGGUUGUGAAAGCCCCGGGCUCAACCUGGGAACGGCAUCCGGAACUGUCAAGCUAGAGUGCAGGAGGGGAAGGUAGAAUUCCCGGUGUAGCGGUGAAAUGCGUAGAGAUCGGGAGGAAUACCAGUGGCGAAGGCGGCCUUCUGGACUGACACUGACACUGAGGUGCGAAAGCGUGGGUAGCAAACAGGAUUAGAUACCCUAGUAGUC
This 465-nucleotide ribosomal RNA is filed under the name Vreelandella stevensii. RNAcentral describes it as "partial 16S ribosomal RNA". It matches the Rfam family "Bacterial small subunit ribosomal RNA", at positions 338 to 795 of the family's 1533-position model. The record is from RNAcentral. Lineage: Bacteria; Pseudomonadati; Pseudomonadota; Gammaproteobacteria; Oceanospirillales; Halomonadaceae.